UACGUAGGGGGCAAGCGUUGUCCGGAUUUAUUGGGCGUAAAGAGCUCGUAGGCGGUUUGGUAAGUCUGGUGUGAAAUCUCCACGCUCAACGUGGAGGGGCCACCCGAUACUGCCAUGACUGGAGUCCGGUAGAGGAGUGUGGAAUUCCCGGUGUAGCGGUGAAAUGCGCAGAUAUCGGGAGGAACACCCGUAGCGAAGGCGGCACUCUGGGCCGUGACUGACGCUGAGGCGCGAAAGCGUGGGGAGCGAACAGG
Molecule: ribosomal RNA, 254 nt
Filed under: uncultured bacterium
Lineage: Bacteria
Description: partial 16S ribosomal RNA
Rfam family: Bacterial small subunit ribosomal RNA
Source: RNAcentral